GGGCUGCAGUAUUUUGACUGUACAAAGGUAGCAUAAUCAAUAGUCUCUUAAUUGGUGACUUGUAUGAAAGAUUGGAUGAGAUAUAAACUGUCUCUAAUUGAUUUAUAAAAAUUAAUUUUUUAGUCAAAAAGCUAAAAUAAUUUUAAAAGACGAGAAGACCCUAUAGAGUUUAAUAUUUUAUUUAGUAAUUAUUAAUAUAUGUAAUUUUAAAAAUUAAAAUUAAAUGAAAUAUUUUGUUGGGGUGAUAAAAAAAUUAAAUUAACUUUUUUUAAUUGUAAACAUUAAUUUAUGGUUAAAUGAUCCAUUUAUAGUGAUUAAAAGAAAAAAUUACCUUAGGGAUAACAGCGUAAUUUUUUUUUUUAGUUCAAAUAGGAAAAAAAGUUUGCGACCUCGAUGUUGGAUUAA
RNAcentral lists this ribosomal RNA (405 nucleotides) under Papilio gambrisius gambrisius. Its description in RNAcentral is "partial 16S ribosomal RNA". Lineage: Eukaryota; Metazoa; Arthropoda; Insecta; Lepidoptera; Papilionidae. The record is from RNAcentral.